RNAcentral lists this ribosomal RNA (240 nucleotides) under Staphylococcus simulans. Its description in RNAcentral is "partial 16S ribosomal RNA". It matches the Rfam family "Bacterial small subunit ribosomal RNA", at positions 198 to 433 of the family's 1533-position model. The record is from RNAcentral. Lineage: Bacteria; Bacillati; Bacillota; Bacilli; Caryophanales; Staphylococcaceae.
UGAUGAAAGACGGUUUUGCUGUCACUUAUAGAUGGACCCGCGGCGUAUUAGCUAGUUGGUAAGGUAACGGCUUACCAAGGCAACGAUACGUAGCCGACCUGAGAGGGUGAUCGGCCACACUGGAACUGAGACACGGUCCAGACUCCUACGGGAGGCAGCAGUAGGGAAUCUUCCGCAAUGGGCGAAAGCCUGACGGAGCAACGCCGCGUGAGUGAUGAAGGUCUUCGGAUCGUAAAACUC